UACAGAGGUCCCAAGCGUUGUUCGGAUUCACUGGGCGUAAAGGGUGCGUAGGCGGUGAGGUAAGUCGGAUGUGAAAGCUCCGAGCUCAACUCGGAAAUGGCAUUGGAAACUACCUUGCUAGAGGGUUUGAGGGGGGACUGGAAUACUUGGUGUAGCAGUGAAAUGCGUAGAUAUCAAGUGGAACACCAGUGGCGAAGGCGAGUCCCUGGAAAACUCCUGACACUGAGGCACGAAAGCUAGGGGAGCAAACAGG
RNAcentral lists this ribosomal RNA (253 nucleotides) under uncultured bacterium. RNAcentral's name for it is "partial 16S ribosomal RNA". It matches the Rfam family "Bacterial small subunit ribosomal RNA", at positions 524 to 776 of the family's 1533-position model. The record is from RNAcentral.